RNAcentral lists this ribosomal RNA (301 nucleotides) under uncultured bacterium. RNAcentral describes it as "partial 16S ribosomal RNA". It matches the Rfam family "Bacterial small subunit ribosomal RNA", at positions 509 to 809 of the family's 1533-position model. The record is from RNAcentral.
CAGCCGCCGCGGGAAUACGAAGGGUGCAAGCGUUACUCGGAAUUACUGGGCGUAAAGCGUGCGUAGGUGGUGGUUUAAGUCCGUUGUGAAAGCCCUGGGCUCAACCUGGGAAUUGCAGUGGAUACUGGGUCACUAGAGUGUGGUAGAGGAUAGUGGAAUUUCCGGUGUAGCAGUGAAAUUCGUAGAUAUUCGGAAGAACACCAGUGGCGAAGGCGGCUUACUGGCUCAUUCUAGACGCUGAGGUGCGAAAGCGUGGGGAGCAAACAGGAUUAGAUACCCGUGUAGUCCCUGUCUCUUAUAU